GCAUGUUCAGUGAAAUCGAGUAGGGCGGGACACGUGUUAUCCUGUCUGAAUAUGGGGGGACCAUCCUCCAAGGCUAAAUACUCCUGACUGACCGAUAGUGAACCAGUACCGUGAGGGAAAGGCGAAAAGAACCCCUGUGAGGGGAGUGAAAUAGAACCUGAAACCGUGUACGUACAAGCAGUAGGAGCACCUUCGUGGUGUGACUGCGUACCUUUUGUAUAAUGGGUCAGCGACUUAUAUUCAGUGGCAAGGUUAACCAUCUAGGGGAGCCGUAGGGAAACCGAGUCUUAACUGGGCGCCAUAGUCUCUGGAUAUAGACCCGAAACCGAGUGAUCUAGCCAUGGGCAGGUUGAAGGUUGAGUAACAUCAACUGGAGGACCGAACCGACUAAUGUUGAAAAAUUAGCGGAUGACUUGUGGCUAGGGGUGAAAGGCCAAUCAAACUCGGAGAUAGCUGGUUCUCCCCGAAAGCUAUUUAGGUAGCGCCUCGGACGAAUACUACUGGGGGUAGAGCACUGUUAAGGCUAGGGGGUCAUCCCGACUUACCAACCCUUUGCAAACUCCGAAUACCAGUAAGUACUAUCCGGGAGACACACGGCGGGUGCUAACGUCCGUCGUGGAGAGGGAAACAACCCAGACCGCCAGCUAAGGUCCCAAAUUACAGCUAAGUGGGAAACGAUGUGGGAAGGCUUAGACAGCUAGGAUGUUGGCUUAGAAGCAGCCAUCAUUUAAAGAAAGCGUAAUAGCUCACUAGUCGAGUCGGCCUGCGCGGAAGAUGUAACGGGGCUAAGUUGUAAACCGAAGCUGCGGCAAUGUUCUUUGAACAUUGGGUAGGGGAGCGUUCUGUAAGCCGUUGAAGGUGUGUUGUAAAGCAUGCUGGAGGUAUCAGAAGUGCGAAUGCUGACAUGAGUAACGACAAGGGGGGUGAAAAACCUCCCCGCCGGAAGACCAAGGGUUCCUGUCCAACGUUAAUCGGGGCAGGGUAAGUCGACCCCUAAGGCGAGGCCGAAAGGCGUAGUCGAUGGGAAACGGGUUAAUAUUCCCGUACUUCUUACAAUUGCGAUGGGGGGACGGAGAAGGCUAGGUGGGCCUGGCGACGGUUGUCCAGGUUCAAGUGCGUAGGCUGAGUGUUUAGGUAAAUCCGGA
This 1145-nucleotide ribosomal RNA is filed under the name Vibrio vulnificus. RNAcentral describes it as "partial 23S ribosomal RNA". It matches the Rfam family "Bacterial large subunit ribosomal RNA", at positions 393 to 1546 of the family's 2925-position model. Lineage: Bacteria; Pseudomonadati; Pseudomonadota; Gammaproteobacteria; Vibrionales; Vibrionaceae. The record is from RNAcentral.